RNAcentral lists this unclassified non-coding RNA (2574 nucleotides) under Leishmania donovani. RNAcentral describes it as "gene:LdHU3.30.1720(CDS-product:hypothetical_prote in_conserved)". The record is from RNAcentral. Lineage: Eukaryota; Euglenozoa; Kinetoplastea; Trypanosomatida; Trypanosomatidae.
CUUGUGCGUGCGUGCGCGUAUGUCGGUGCAGGCGACUUAUCACCUCGUUUCUCACCUCAUCUGACGCUGUCGUCACCCUGGGGAUCCACAUCCCCCCUCCCUCCUUCGCCCCACCAACUAUUUCUCUAUCUUCACGAACAGCGGCGCACAUUGCCCCGGCGCAGCGGCACCUUUUUACUUUUCGUUGUUGUUGUACUCAACAAUGACGAGCCAAGAGCGCCAGGCAGCCGUGCUGGCGCUCGUGCGCCGACUGCUGCCGCUUGUCCAGCCGGACUUGCCAGUCCACAGCCCCACGCACUUUACGCAGCUCUGCGAUGGCAUUGCGCUGUUCGCGAUGCUGCGGCUGGUGGCCCCCAACUCGUUCCCGUCCACAUGCUCUGAAUCCAACGAGGAGGGCGCGGUUGUCUCCUUGACGGGGCCGAUGCUGGAGGAGGAUGCGCAGCAGCGAAAGCACAACAUGUGCGCGCUCCUCCGCGACAUUCGCGCGUACGCUCAGGAAGCCAUGCACACCACAUCCUCAACGCCUGUCACGCAGGGACUCGAUCCGGCGGUGCUCGCUGGCUUGCCAGGGGCUGAAGAUGACGGUUGUGCCGCAGCAGAAGCGGCGCAGCGGCAGCAACUCACGCAACUGGUUGGUGUCGCUGUCGCUCUUGUCGUGCUCAGUGGCGUGCCUGCUGUCUUGAGCGAGGUCAAGUCUCUGCCUCGGCAGGAGCAGGUGGUGUUGUCGGAUUGGGUGAAGGAGAUAAUGCGCGCCUACCAGUUGCAGCCCCGCCACCACGCCACCGCUGUAUCUGAGCCGGGCCCGUCCGGCGUGUCGGCACAUCUUCGCCAGACAGUGAGCCCGCAGCCUGCCAGCAGCGGGUUUGCGGCAGCCUCGCCGAUGAUCAGACGGGGCGCCACCGGCUUCUCCCCGUCGCCCCUGUCCCACCGUGGUGCCAGCUCGAACGCCGCCGCCGCGGGCGAGGAGGAUGAGGGCUACUACCGCAACGCCACCUACCAACUACGACGGGAGCUAACCGAGGUGAAGGCGCAACUUGCCGCAUUGCAAGACGCCUACAAGGUGAGUAAGGAGGACAAGGAGAUGGCGGAGGGCAAAUAUCGACUGCUGCUCGGCGACCAGGCAAAAAUGUCACCCACGCUAGCUGCCACGUCCGCGGCGGCGGCAACAGAGGGCGGCGAUAGCGAAGCCGGGGCCGGCGGCAGCAGUGAUAUCUUGUCUGUGUGGCAGCGGCGCUGUGCGCAGAAGGACGAGACCAUUGCCGCCCUAACGGCGCGUGUGGAGCAGCAGUCGACGCAGGUGACCGCGCUGAAAGAGGCGACAGCUGCCCACGAGAUGGCACUGCAGGCGUUGCGCCGCCGCCUCAAGACAGCGGAAGAAGGUGUCAUGGUGAAGUCAGAGGAGCGACGCGAGGCACUGCAGAAACUCGCGGUAGCGGAGGACAAGCUUGCUGCGCAGAUGAAGGCGCGCGUAGAGCUGGAGACGCAGGUGGAGGAGCUGCAGUCGCGUUUGCUGGUGCUGGAGCUGGAGCAGGACCGGCUGCAUGGGCUCGGCAGCGAUGAUGCCGCCCAGCUCAACACCUCCUUCGCCUCCAACGGGUCGGUUGACCGCGUGCUGGCAUUGGAGAACGAGCUGGAUGAGGCCCGGCAGCAGCGCGACAGCCUGCAGCGGCAGGUUGGCAUUCUGCAGCGCCAGGUAGCCGCCAUGGUUGCUCCCGUCGCCGACGUGUCCACGGCCAACGAUACGUGGCGGGCUCAGCUGCGCCAGGUCGAGCGAGAGAGGGAGGACCUGCGGCAGCAGCUCACCACCGCCCUGGAGCGCGUCGGCGGACUUCAGCAGCAGCUGACGGCGAGCGGCGCCGCGGCUGCCGUGGUGGACGCCAGUGGUGUUGGCGCCGGCCAGGCUGGACCAGCCAGCGGCACUGCGAAUGCUGACGUCAGCAUUAUGAGCGUGGAGGAGGGCAGCGAGCUGGACAUGGGGUUGCUUGACGAAGGCACUGACUCUCCGUGCGGGCGAGACACGGGUCUCACACCGUGCAGCAAAACCCGCGAACCGGCGUGCCGUGAACAGGUCAUUCUCUCCUCGCUUCUUCUCCAGUACAGCUACCGCAACCUCCUACUUCAGCAGCACCAGACUCUGCUCCACAAGGAUGCCAUGGAAGCCGAGGCGGCGCGGCGACGGCAGGCGGAGGAGCACCUAGAGAUGAUGCGGCAGACGCCGACGUCGGUGCUGACGAAGCAGCGGCGGGAUGUGGAGCAGGGAUUACUGGAGACGGUGCUCUUGGGGGCAAAAUUACGCAUGAUGCAAGUGGAGAGUUGAUGCGCAUGCGAUGAUGCACAGAGGACCUUCUCUCUCCUCACUUCUUCCGCCCGCUCACGCAUGUGUCUCUCUGUCUGUCUCUGCAGAAUGCGAGGCGCCUAUCGGCGAGAGCGCCUGCGGCGAAGGCGGCGUUGCGCGUAUGUACAUGUAAGGGUUAGGGGCGCAGGCCAACCAACACGCAUGUGGAGAGAGAGAGGCGAAAGGCGAGAAGACGAUGAUGAUGAUGUAUUCUCACCUCUGUAAAGACGCAUGAGGGA